GCCUGGGUCAGAAAGAGAUGGACACAAGAGGAAGCAGGGGAAGGCGGAGAAACAGGAAACAAGUGUCACACACAGUUUGUUACACACAGGCCAAAAACCAAACACCAGUCACUGAGGGCCAGACAUAUGAGGGCCAGAGGGGCAGGGUGCUGGGAAUGAAAGAAACCAGUGACCAGUGAGCCCGAGUCCUGGGCUUGGGGAGGAGGUGGGCAGACAAGGCAGCUGGCAGAAGCGGAAGCAUCCUCCUUCCAGCCCUGGCCCCAGGCCCUGGAAAGCCCUUGCAAGAAGGGGUUUUGUGGGACAGCUGGAAGGUUGGAGGCCCUGGGCCAGGAGAACUAAAGGACGCAGGGACCCGGGGUGGCGGGAAUGGUGGCUGACCCACACGGCUCAUAGGAACCGAGACUUUGGGGCUGGGGGUGGGGGUGGGUGCAGAACCUACAAAAGAAGGAGACACACCCAGAAGAACCCAAAGUUGUCCCUCCUGGAUCGCAGAGGAGGGGGCACUGGUGGCGCCUGUCUGCAAAGCUGGUUCUCCCACAGGGCCCGCGAGCCCCGAGGGUAGGCACUCACCCCACUGCAAGAAGUCGGCCACGUACUUGUCCUGGGCCAGUUCGGAGGCGCCCAGCUCCUGGUGGACGCCCAGGAGAAGGUCGAGCAGGGG
Molecule: long non-coding RNA, 661 nt
Filed under: Homo sapiens (human)
Lineage: Eukaryota; Metazoa; Chordata; Mammalia; Primates; Hominidae
Description: HSALNT0260733
Source: RNAcentral